GAUGGCACAAGCCACCGUUCAUGCAGGAGCACGUCUGAUUGCAUCCGUUGCCAUAGUAACCAGGCAGACAUUCUGAGACCAAGAACACAACAUACAAUUUUACACAUGAAUCAUCUUUUAAGGGACGUCUACAUGCAGUUUUUCCAAUGAACCCAGGUGUGCUGGUGCAGCCUCCGUGGACGUGACGGUAAAAAUGUCAAAGUCACGUUAUAAUACAGUAAAUGCAAAAAGGUCAAACAAACCUGAACUGCUUCCACAUCACCUCUUGGUCACAAACGUCAACUACCACAAUGAAACCUGUCAUCUCACCUUAUAAACAGACAAUUAAGCGCUGCUCACCAGAUGUCAAAAUUCUGACACACCAACCACUCAAGGCUCUGUCAGGGGGCACUGUAUCCUCCUAAUGUUCAAGACCUAAUUUGAACAGUCCAGUUUGUCCUUUAAAGGGGUCAGUCUCCGGAAGUCGCG
This is a long non-coding RNA of Phyllopteryx taeniolatus (common seadragon), 468 nucleotides long. RefSeq lists it as uncharacterized. The record is from RefSeq and is a predicted model, not a curated record. The transcript is spliced from 3 exons. NCBI's taxonomy places the organism in Eukaryota, Metazoa, Chordata, Actinopteri, Syngnathiformes, Syngnathidae.